CCGUGCUAGGCGGGGAGGUAGCGGUGCCCUGUCACCCGCAAUCCGCUCUAGCGGGGCUGAAUUCCCGACUGAGGGGCUUCGGCCCUCGGGGCCAGUACGCCGGACAGAGGCGUCGAUGGCCGGGUCCCGCGCGGCGAGCGCUCGCGAAUCAGGUCAGAUCCGGGAGGAAGCAGCCUUAAGCGAUACCGCUCGUGCGCCGCGGAGACGCCUGGCCGGAGCCGAAGAUCGGCGGGCACGCCCGAGGACCAGCUUCGACGCCGGGUGCACGG
RNAcentral lists this signal recognition particle RNA (269 nucleotides) under Thermoleophilaceae bacterium. RNAcentral describes it as "signal recognition particle sRNA large type". It matches the Rfam family "Bacterial large signal recognition particle RNA". Rfam says of the family: The signal recognition particle (SRP) is a universally conserved ribonucleoprotein involved in the co-translational targeting of proteins to membranes. The record is from RNAcentral. Lineage: Bacteria; Bacillati; Actinomycetota; Thermoleophilia; Thermoleophilales; Thermoleophilaceae.